UAAAGUUUUUGAUUGCCAGACUUGAAGAAGUCCAUGGAUUUCAAUCCAAAAAACUCAGAAUGUGGUUCACCUCUAUAUAUCAAAGUUUUUUCUCAGCAAGAUAUUGUUUGAAGCUAUGAAAUAGAUGAUGAUCAGAUGGUGCAAGGUUGGAAAUAUGCUGGAUGGAAAGUUUUUCCCAUCCAAAUUCCUGCCAAGUUGCAGGAAUUUGGAUGGGAAAAACAGUUUGUAUGGUUUCAUAUUCAGUGGGAAGUAAGAUGGCAUGUGUGGCAUAUAUGUGGCAUUCUUGCUAUGUGUGGUUUCAUAUUGUCCUGUUGAAUAAGUAUACCUUUAUGAUUAAAAGUGCUGGAUGUUUUUCCUGCAAGGCAGUACAUAGACAUCUAGCUGUUGACAAUAGAACCUAUCUUGUAGUGAUUUGGUUCAGUAGCAGAAAUUUGUAAUGGAUUAUUCUUUACAUAUCCCACCAAACAUUUAGCAAAAUCUUAUGAAGAAAUGUUCAGAUUUAGCCACUACUGCAGGCAUAAUCUAUUUAUGAAGCCACUAAUAUUUCCA
Molecule: long non-coding RNA, 549 nt
Filed under: Androctonus crassicauda
Lineage: Eukaryota; Metazoa; Arthropoda; Arachnida; Scorpiones; Buthidae
Source: RNAcentral